Molecule: long non-coding RNA, 24611 nt
Filed under: Citrus sinensis (sweet orange)
Lineage: Eukaryota; Viridiplantae; Streptophyta; Magnoliopsida; Sapindales; Rutaceae
Description: long non-coding RNA (CSIN_LNC000984)
Source: RNAcentral
UUCUUUUGAACAACAUUCUUCGUCUGACUGUGAUGAAGUAUAUCAACAAUCUCGUCCAAAGAUGAUGUCUUGGAAAGAGGAUGCUGAUUGCUGCUCAUGGGAUGGAGUAACAUGUGAUACGGUGGCUGGUCACGUGAUUGGCCUCGACCUUAGCUGUAGUUGGCUUCACGGCAAUAUCCCUUCCAAUAGUAGCCUUUUCUUUCUUCCUCACAUACGAAAGCUCAACUUGGCUUUCAAUGAUUUUAAUUACUCCGAGAUUUCUUCUGGUUUUAGUCAACUUCGGAGCUUGACACUCCUUAACCUCUCUUCCAGCAAUUUCAUGGGGUCAAUUCCUGCAUCAAUAGGUAAUAUCACCCAACUUUCUUAUUUGGAUCUUUCAUAUAAUAAUUUUAAUGGUCACAUACCAUCUUCCUUUUCAAAUCUUGAGCAGCUUCAUUAUUUAAUUCUGAGGAGCAAUUUUUUCGUUGGUAAAAUUCCUGAUAUUUUUACCAAUCUAACCCAACUUUCUUACUUAGAUUUCAGUAGUAACCAACUUUCUGGCUCAAUUCCGAGCUCAGUCUAUGAGCUUGAGAAUUUGAUUCUUCUCAGACUUUCUUCAAACAGAUUAAGCGGCACCGCUGAGCUGUACGAUUUUGCAAAGCUCAAAAAUCUUAAAUGGCUAUUUGUUUCUAAUAAUAGAUUAUCAUUGAGCACCAAAUUAAAAGUCAACUCUUCCUUUCCCAAUCUUUUUGGGUUGGGUUUAUCUGCUUGCAAUGUAAGUGAAUUUCCGGACAUCUUAAGAACCCUGCAUCAAUUGCAGUGGUUGAACCUUUCUAAAAACCGAAUUCAUGGUAGGAUUCCUAGUUGGAUGUGGGACUUAGGAAUAGCUACUUUGUAUUACCUAGAUCUUUCCAACAACUUCCUGACAAACAUUGAAUAUUUUCCACCGACAAAUAUGACCCAACUUAACUUUGAUUCGAACCUAACCCACAAGGUCUUGGAUAUGAGAAUGAACAACUUCAAUGGAAAAAUCCCUCGAAAGUUUGUAAAAAGUUGUAAUUUGACGAGUCUUAACCUUAAUGGAAAUCGGCUGGAAGGACCACUGCCACCAUCUUUGGUGAAUUGUCAUCACUUGGAAGUUUUAAAUGUUGGGAAUAAUCAAAUCAAUGAUAACUUCCCCAAUUGGUUAGAAAUUCUUCCAGAAUUGCAAGUUCUUAUCUUGCGUUCCAAUAGAUUUUGGGGUCCCAUUGGUGAGAACACAACAAUAGUUCCAUUCCCUAGCUUAAGAAUAAUUGAUUUGUCUCACAAUGAAUUCACCGGAGUUUUGCUAACAGGAUAUCUUGAUAAUUUUAAAGCCAUGAUGCAUGGGAAUAAUAUUAGUGUUGAAGUGGAUUAUAUGACACCUUUGAAUUCUUCUAAUUACUAUGAAUCAAUAAUUUUGACUAUCAAAGGCAUUGACAUCAAAAUGGAGAGAAUUCUAACCAUUUUUAUGACAAUUGAUUUGUCGAGUAAUAAAUUUCAAGGAGGAAUUCCAGAAGUGGUGGGAAAGCUCAAUUUACUCAAAGGUCUCAACAUUUCUCACAACAACCUGACAGGUGAUAUUCCAUCAUCGUUGAGAAAUUUGACCGAGGUCGAAUCUCUAGACUUGUCUUCAAACAUGCUUGUUGGGCAUAUUCCAACGCAAUUGACGAGCCUGAAAUAUCUUUCAGUGCUAAAUCUUUCGUACAACCAGUUUGAGGGACCUAUACCUCGAGGAUCCCAAUUCAAUACAUUUCCAAAUGAUUCAUAUGUUGGUAACUCAGGGUUGUGUGGAUUCCCAUUGUUAGAAAGCUGCAACAUUGAUGAGGCGCCAGAACCAGUAGGGUCAACAAGAUUUGAUGAAGAAGAAGAUGCCUCAAGUUGGUUUGAUUGGAAGUUUGCUAAGAUGGGUUAUGGAUCUGGAUUGGUGAUUGGCUUGUCCGUCGGAUACAUGGUAUUUGGGACUGGAAAGCCACGAUGGCUUGUAAGGAUGAUUGAAAAGUAUCAAUCUAACAAGGUCAGGAUAAGAGUGAGCAGUCUUGGUAUCGCAAGAAGAAAUUAGUAAGUGCAUCACUUUCUCAUAUUAGUUUAAGUAGGUUACAUGCUGAUAUUUUCCAUCAUCUCAACUAAUAUUUUAACCAUAUAUUAAUAAUCUGAUGUGUUUUUUGUUCAGGAAUUUUACACUCAUGGAAUGGAAUUAAGCUGUCGAAGUCAAAUAAUCACCCUCCAGGUACAGAAAUUAAUUUUCUCGCUUUUAUUUCCAAUUCCUAAUAAUAUACUAAGACUUAAUCUUUUGUUGGAAAGCUUGAUCAAAAUUCUGAGGGAAAAAAUCAUUUGAUUAAAUAAUGUUGCUGUAAGAAAUGGGGUUGGGGCAGCUUGAUUUGGUGUAUCUUGCCUUCGGUAGGCAUGUUUGAUUAUCUGCCAGCAUUUAGAAGAUUUUGAUAUUGGGAAUAAUCAAAUUAAUAAUAACUUUUCCCACUGGUUAGAUGUUCUUCCUAAAUUGCAAGUUCUUAUAUUAUGAUCUAACUGAAUUUGGGGUCCCAUUAGUGAUACCAAAAUAAGAGUUCUCUUCCUAAGUAUUGAAUAAUUGAUCUCUUUAACAAUGAACUCACUGAUGUUUUACCAACAUGGUUUCUGGAAAGCUUUAAAGCCAUGAUUCAUGGAGAUAAUAAUACUAUUGAUAAUGAAGUAGAAAAUAUAAUUAUCAAUUCAAAAAGUUUCUUCAACCACGAAUCAUUAAUUUUUGCUAUGAAAGGAAUUGACAUACAAAUGGAGAGGAUUCUAGCCAUUUUCAUGACAAUUGAUUUGUUAGCAAUCAGUUUCAAGGAGGAAUUAUAGGAGUGGUGGGAAUGUUUAAUCCACUCAAAUGUCUCAACAUUUCUCGUCAAUAACCUCACAGGCGAUAUUCCAUCAUCAUUUGGAAAUUUGACAAAGCUUGAUCUUUAAACCUCUCCCCAAACAAGCUUGUUAGGCUGAUUCCAAUGUAAUUGGUGAGUUCAAAUACUAUUUUGGUGCUAAAUCUUUCAUACAUUUUUAAAUGAUUCUUGUGCUAGGAACCUGGGGUAGUGUGGAUUCCCAUUGUCAAUUGCUUGCAACGAUGAUGAGGCACCAUAACUGACAGUACCAAAUUCGAGCUGGUUUGAUUGGAAGUUUACCAAGAUGGAUUACACAUCUAGGUUGGGGAUGACUUGUCCAUUGGAUAUAUGGUAUUUAUAAAUGGAAGGCCAAGAUGGUUUGUGUGGAUGAUCAAAAGAAGUAAUCUAAUAUGGUGAGAAGGGUGAUAAGACAAUGUAGAACAAGAAGAAGAAAUUAGUAAAAUUAGUAAGUUCACAUCUAGCUCAGAUGAGUAAUUAUCAAGUGUUCUUUUGGAUUUGUAAUCUUAUUAUUAUUCUUUCCCUAGAUAACAUCAUAGCAUAUUGAUAUUUUUCAAAAUUUUUAAGGAAAAGAAAUGAUUUGAAAUAGGUUGAGACUAUUUACACUCACCAUAAUACUCAAUAAACCCAUUUACUAAUCAAGUCAUCGUCUAAAUUUAAAAAUUUAUCUUUCAUUCAAUAAACCCACCUUUAUAACCAUUAUACCCUUAUUUAAAUCUCUUUCUCUUCUCUUUCUUUUUUGCGACUUCUAUAUCUCUACUUCCUCUUAGUAUUCUAUUUUUGUUUUAUAACCAAAUCAUCCACUGUUCUUGUCUUGUUGCAGUGGCUCUUUUUCAUUUUUUUUUCUCCUUGACUGAAACUCUCAAAGUUCUAUCAUGAAACACUAAAAAAAGGAUAAAGUAUAAAGAUCCUUGAUCUCAAUUAAAAGACAAUUUUUUUCACACCAAAUUGCAAGGAAAUAUAAUGUAUGUCAAAGUAAAUAAGUCUUUUAUUUAUAAGCUAUAGUUUAGUAAUGUUAAAGAGCAACAAUAAUCUUUUAUAUAUAUUGAAAAAUAAAUGCAGAUAUAAAAACUUUAGAGAGAGAAAUUAAAGACGAUUAAGUUGCAAUAAUAUUUAGCUAUAAUGAUUAUUAUAAUAAUUUAAUUUAAGGAUAUUUGUGUAAUAAAUUAUCUUUUUAGAAUUGGAUUAAUGAAUAGUUUGGUGAAUUCAAAUAACUUCGCUCUUUGAAAUAAUGUUAUAUUCUUGCAAGUCAUGAUGUAUCUCGUGUAGCUUGGGCCGUUUAUUUUGGGUUUGGGUGUAGAUCAAUGAGAGGUUGUGAAUUUUCCCUAUUGAAAUUAACAUAUACUACUUACCUUCUAUGAUUUUCAUAAUAAUCAAUAACUCUUAUGGCAACAUAAGUUUACAGUAUUAUCCUCAUUUUCUAAUACCUUUUUAUUCAUAUUUAUUAUAAAUUAAAUAAAUUAUAUAAAUGAAAAUUAAAAUAAAAAAUUUAAGUAUUGAAAAUAAGCAAUAUAUAUUUUGAUGCGAAUAAAAAAUUAAUAAUAAGAUUUUUUUUGUACUUUUUAUUUUUUUAAACUCUACCCAUUUAGAAUUUUUAGAGAUAUCUCCGAACUCCCCCAAAUAAGAAUUUUUGGGUAUAAAGGUGGGUUCGGGGAUCAUAAUCCCUGACCUCAAUUUGCCCAUUAUCAUCCCCGCCUAGUAUGAAACAGGACAUGAUUUGUUUCAAAUAAUUCAGCCCUAUACAGUGCCCAUAAACAAAUGCACCUUUGUGCUUAGAAAUACAUACAGAAUGCCAAGAUAAUUAAAUGUUCCUAACCGUCUUUAGGAAAAAAAGAAAAUGUAAUGACUUCGGUAACGGAAAUAAUACAGACAAUGCUAAUUUGAGCACAGCUUCUUAUAUACGUCUGCGUUUGAACUGGUUUGUGGAAAAACUGUGAAAAGGGAGUGGUUCUACAUUCACCACGAUGCCUUCCUAGGACUCACCAUUCCCCGCCGAACACGUGGCCUAGAUUGCCCUCUUCAUUAGUUGCAUGAAAGGAUCCUACUUUGAACUCUUAACUUUCUUAUCCUGCCCAUGUGGCCACGAGAUUCACAUAAUUAAUUAGAUUAUGAAUUUUACAAAUUAGCGACAAAGACACUCACCAAACCGGCCAGAUUCCAUAUAGAGUUCCAAGCUCCGUAACAAGAUCACUUCGUGCUUUAAAAUUAUUACAUAAUUAAUUGGAUUCAAUCCUUUCCAUUCACUGGAUAAAUGGGUUACUUAACACAGCCUUGUCCAGUUUUGAUCUGCCUCCAGUUAUUGCUCUUGUAUUUUCAGUGUUGUUCUGCGAAGCUUUGCUCUCAUGAUCAAAGCUCUGCGUUACUCCAAUUUAAGCAACUCUUUUCUUUUGAACAACAUUCUUCGUAUGAUUGUGAUGAAGUAUAUCAACAAUCUUGUCCAAAGAUGAUGUCUUGGAAAGAGGAUGCUGAUUGCUGCUCAUGGGAUGGAGUAACAUGUGAUACGGUGGCUGGUCACGUGAUUGGCCUCGACCUUAGCUGUAGUUGGCUUCACGGCAAUAUCCCUUCCAAUAGUAGCCUUUUCUUUCUUCCUCACAUACGAAAGCUCAACUUGGCUUUCAAUGAUUUUAAUUACUCCGAGAUUUCUUCUGGUUUUAGUCAACUUCGGAGCUUGACACUCCUUAACCUCUCUUCCAGCAAUUUCAUGGGGUCAAUUCCUGCAUCAAUAGGUAAUAUCACCCAACUUUCUUAUUUGGAUCUUUCAUAUAAUAAUUUUAAUGGUCACAUACCAUCUUCCUUUUCAAAUCUUGAGCAGCUUCAUUAUUUAAUUCUGAGGAGCAAUUUUUUUCGUUGGUAAAAUGUUGAAAAGUUAAAUAUUUAUUUGUUAAUUUAAAAAAAGUAAAGUUGGUGGGUUUGUAAAUUUCAAAAGAUAAAGUUAGGUUUUGAAAAGUUUGUACAUGCAAUUGGGUGAUGUUGAAAAUUGAAUAUAGCAACAAAUUACAUAUGUAAUUGUUGACAAAUAUGGAUGACUUUAAUGCAUGUAAUGCAAGAUCCAACUCAACGUUUUGACCAAUUGAACCCAAUUUGGUGCAAAAUGCUUUUCUAUCAAUUUUCAAUAUCACCGAAUUGCAUGUACAAGCUUUUCAAAACCUUUUUCAUGCUUUUAAAAUCUAACUUUGUCUUUUGAAAUUAGCAAGCCGACCAACUUUGCUUUUUAAAAAUUGGCAAGUCAUUAUUUGACUUUUCAACAAUUCUCCACCUCGACGAAGAUUUAAUAAAUGUGAGCCGAUUAUCAACAAAUUAUCUUCCAAUCUUUGCCUUUUCCGACUGCUUUCAACUUGAUGUUAAAACUACAUUUUUACAUGAUGAUUUGGAAGAGGAAAUUUACAUGACUCAGCUAGAUGGAUUCAAGGUUGCUGAAAAAGAAAAUUGGGUUUGCAAAUUGACAAAGUCGCUUUAUGGAUUGAACAAUUUUCGAGACAGUGGUAUAAACGAUUUGAUCGAUUUAUGAAAGGACAAAGGUACACAAGAAAUAAAUUUGAUCAUUGUGUGUAUUUUCGCAAGCUACAAGAAGAAUCUUUCAUUUAUUUGCUGUUGCAUGUCGAUGAUAUGGAAAUAGCAUCGAAGAGCAAAGAUGAGAUUGAGAAGUUGAAAACUCAACUCAAUCAAGAAUUUGAGAUGAAAGAUCUAGGUGAAGCUAAGAAGAUUCUUGGCAUGGAGAUAUGCAGAAAUAGAACUUGUGGCAAAGUAAGCUUGUCUCAAAAGUAAUAUUUGAAGAAGGUACUACAACAGUUUGACAUGGUAGAGCAGACAAAAUCUGUGAGUACCCCGUUGGCUUCUUAUUUCAAGCUUUCUGCACAACUUUCUCCUUCAACAGAUGCAUAACGAGAAUACAUGUUACAAGUUCCGUAUUCAAAUACACUAGGUAGCUUGAUGUAUGCAAUGGUGUGUAAAAAGCCUGACAUUUCACAUUUAGUUGGUAUAGUGAGCAUGUAUAUGCAUAAUCCUGGUAAAGGGCGUUGGCAAGCUGUGAAAUGGAUUCUACGGUGCAUUCAAAAGACCAUGGAUGUUGGUUUGUUGUUUGAGCAAGAUGAUACACUUGGUCAAAGUGUGAAUGGGUACGUCGAUUCUGAUUAUAUUGGUGAUUUGGACAAACGACGGUCAAUCACCGGAUAUGUAUUUAACUUUGCUGGAGGGCCAAUCAAUUGGAAGUCUACACUACAGUCUACAGUUGUACUGUCGACCACAGAGGCCGAGUACAUGGCAAUUACAAAGGCUGUUAAAGAAGCUAUUUGGUUACAAGGCUUGCUUGAAAAUUUGGGAUUAGUAUAGGAGCACAUUAAUGUAUAUUGCGACAGUCAAAGUGCUAUUCACUUAACAAAGAACCAAGUUUAUCAUGCAUGUACGAAGCAUAUUGAUGUACGAUUUCACUUUGUGCGGGAAAUUGUUGAUGAUGGGAAGAUUCUUCUUCAGAAAAUUAAGACUGCAGAUAAUCUCGCAGAUAUAUUGAUAAAGGUAGUGACGACGAUCAAGUUUGAGCAUUGUCUAAACUUGAUCAAUAUCCUGCAAGUUUGAAAGCAGUCGGGGAAGGUAGAGAUUGGAGGAUGAUUUGUUGAUAAUCGGCUCAGAUUUACUAAAUCUUCGCCGAAGUGGAGAAUUGUUAAAAAGUCAAAUAAUGGCUUGCCACUUUCAAAAAAGCAAAGUUGGUCGGCUUGCCAAUUUCAAAAGACAAAGUUAGGUUUUGAAAGCAUGAAAAAAGUUUUGAAAAUCUUGUACAUACAAUUUGGUGAUGUUGAAAAUUGACUAUGGCAACAAAUUACACAUGUAAUUAUUGACAAAUAUGCAUGACUUUAAUGCAUGCAAUGCAAGAUCCAGUUCAACGUUUUGACCAAUUGAACCAAACUUGGUGCAGAAUGCUCUCUAUAAAUAGAGAAGCAAUUUGCAAUUGUAAGCAUCCCAAUUUGAGAGAAGUAGAGAGCAAUUGCAAGUGAGCUCUUUGAGAGAUUUGAGAGAGAGUCAACUUAAGUGUUCUAGUGAGGUUCUAUUUGCGUGUAUUGGGGUUGUGGGUUUUGUGAGCUUUUCUCACUUUUAUAAAUUCUCAUUUGUUAGUAAAAUUAUCUUCUAGUUUUUGUCCGUGGACGUAGGCAUUACGCCGAACCACGUAAAUUAUUGUGUCCUAUUUUCUUUGCAUUUAUUUAUUACCACAUGCAUAUUUCUCCAGAAGUCGCAGUAUUAGUAAUUGCUCAACCUCGCGCUUUCGCAACAUAAAAUUCCUGAUAUUUUUACCAAUCUAACCCAACUUUCUUACUUAGAUUUCAGUAGUAACCAACUUUCUGGCUCAAUUCCGAGUUCAGUCUAUGAGCUUGAGAAUUUGAUUCUUCUCAGACUUCCUUCAAACAGAUUAAGCGGCACCACUGAACUGUACGAUUUUGCAAAGCUCAAAAAUCUUAAAUGGCUAUUUGUUUCUAAUAAUAGAUUAUCAUUGAGCACCAAAUUAAAAGUCAACUCUUCCUUUCCCAAUCUUUUUGGGUUGGGUUUAUCUGCUUGCAAUAUAAGUGAAUUUCCGGACAUCUUGAGAACCCUGCAUCAAUUGCAGUGGUUUAACCUUUCUAAAAACCGAAUUCAUGGUAGGAUUUCUAGUUGGAUGUGGGACUUAGGAAUAACUGCUUUGUAUUACCUAGAUCUUUCCAACAACUUCCUGACAAACAUUGAAUAUUUUCCACCAACAAAUAUGACCCAACUUAACUUUGAUUCGAACCUAACACACAAGGUCUUGGAUAUGAGAAUGAACAACUUCAAUGGAAAAAUCUCUCAAAAGUUUGUAAACAGUUGUAAUUUGACAAAUCUUAACCUUAAUGGAAAUCGGCUGGAAGGACCACUGCCACUAUCUUUGGUGAAUUGUCAUCACUUGGAAGUUUUAGAUGUUGGGAAUAAUCAAAUUAAUGAUAACUUCCCCAAUUGGUUAGAAAUUCUUCCAGAAUUACAAGUUCUUAUCUUGCGUUCCAAUAGAUUUUGGGGUCCCAUUGGUGACAACACAACAAUAGUUCCAUUCCCUAGGUUCAGAAUAAUUGAUUUGUCUCACAAUGAAUUCACCGGAGUUUUACCAACAGGAUAUCUUGAUAAUUUUAAAGCCAUGAUGCAUGGGAAUAAUAAUAGUGUUGAAGUGGAUUAUAUGACACCUUUGAAUUCUUCUAAUUACUAUGAAUCAAUAAUUUUGACUAUCAAAGGCAUUGACAUCCAAAUAGAGAGAAUUCUAACCAUUUUUAUGACAAUUGAUUUGUCGAGUAAUAAAUUUCAAGGAGGAAUUCCAGAAGUGGUGGGAAAGCUCAAUUUACUUAAAGGUCUCAACAACAUUUCUCACAACAACCUUACAGGUGAUAUUCCAUCAUUGUUGAGAAAUUUGACCGAGGUCGAAUCUCUAGACUUGUCUUCAAACAUGCUUGUUGGGCAUAUUCCAACGCAAUUGACGAGUCUGAAAUAUCUUUCAGUGCUAAAUCUUUCGUACAACCAGUUUGAGGGACCUAUACCUCAAGGAUCCCAAUUCAAUACAUUUCGAAACGAUUCCUAUGUUGGUAACUCAGGGUUGUGUGGAUUCCCAUUGUUAGAAAGCUGCAACAUUGAUGAGGCGCCAGAACCAGUAGGGUCAACAAGAUUCGGUGAAGAAGAAAAUGCUUCAAGUUGGUUUGAUUGGAAGUUUGCUAAGAUGGGUUAUGGAUCUGGAUUGGUGAUUGGCUUGUCCAUCGGAUACAUAGUAUUUGGGACUGGAAAGCCACGAUGGCUUGUAAGGAUGAUUGAAAAGAAUUAAUCUAACAAGGUCAGGAUAAGAGUGAGCUGUCUUGGUAUCGCAAGAAAAAAUUAGUAAGUGCAUCACUUUCUCAUAUUAGUUUAAGUAGGUUGCAUGCUGAUAUUUUCCAUCAUCUCAACUAAUAUUUUAACCAUAUAUUAAUAAUCUGAUGUGUUUUUUCUUCAGGAAUUUUACACUUAUGGAAUGGAAUUAAGCUGUCGAAGUCAAAUAAUCACCCUCCAGGUACAGAAAUUAAUUUCCAAUUCCUAAUAAUAUACUACGACUUAAUUCUUUUGUUGGUAAGCUUGAUCAAAAUUCUGAGGGAAAAAAUCAUUUGAACAAAUAAUGUUGAUGUAGGAAAUGGGGUUGGGGCAGCUUGAUUUGGUGUAUCUUGCCUUCGGUAGGCAUGUUGUGAUUUGGGCGUUUUGAAGAAGCUGAAGCUUGCGACGAGCAGAAAAAUAUUCACAGCCUUUAGCUACGAUGCAUGCGAUUUUUGCCGAAUUUCAUUGUUUGAGCUUUCAUGAGUGGAUACUCCCUUUUCCACGACUUAUACAACUUCUAAUAUUUUUAUUUUCUUAUUUCUAAUAGAAAUUCAUGUGCUACUUCAAUUUUUUAUCAAUAAAUUCCCAAAUCCCUCCAAAUUAAUUACAUUGUUUUCGUGACUCAUAAUCCAAUAAAAUUGCUCUUGAAUCCUUGUACUAAUUGAAUGGUUAGUUGUGCAUAAAAUGCAUGAACAAAGGAGCCACUUAAAUUUAUAAAAUAUAUUCAACGACAAACGAAUAUAGAGAUGUCUGGUAUUCACAGUUUCAUCAAACAGUACUAAAAUGGGCUAAUCUGGAAACUUGAUUUUUAAAUGAAAUAUAAAAUAAAAUAGCGGUUGAACAUGAUCACCCCUACUGUAUAGGCUAUAGCUCAGAAUUCUGUAGAUUAAUUGGACCGGACUAUCACAGUUCCGGCCUAAUGGUCCUUUUAAAAACGGCCCAGGCCGUGCCACGUCAACAUCAAAAGAUCGUCCACGUCAGCACUCAAGAUUAUAAUCUUAUAAAAAAAGGCUGUGGAAAUUCAUCGUAUACUUGGAUUUUGUUUUCACUGUUCAAAGAUCUUUUGUUUCCCCUGUAUAUUGAGAUUUUGGCAUCAAUAUAAUUAAUUAGAUUGUUUUAACUCAUUUCAAUUAUACCUAUACUAUAUAUUUCGCUAGUUUGCAUAAUAUUGUCAUGAACAAUAUAACAGCUAAUCUGAAUCAUCAAAUCAAUAACAAUAUCAAAAUACUAACUGCCAACAGCUUGUUCUAGAGAUUAGAAUUCUCUCUUUAUUUGAAUUUUCUUAAGUUUUUAACAAUCUUUUGUCAUAUAUCAUGUAAUAAUAAUGUAUGCAUAGGAAUAAAUUUAUCUAUUUUUUAAAUUUAUUAACUGCCGAUCAACACAUGAAUUUUUACUCAAGAAAAAUUCAGAUCAUAAGAGAUUGUUAAUCCUUCUUUUAGAUAGCAUGCACGAUAAACACACGUAUGCUUUUGGAUAAAAUGUUGUAAAAAACAGUGCAUGCACUUUGUCCUCUUUAUCACUUAUUUAGCAAUGCUUCAUGACUCUAUCACCAAAAUGAUCAUGGUAUUAGUCUAUUAGAACCCCUAAGCUCAUGGCAUUGCGUCAUUGAACACAACCCACAAUUAGCUUUCAUUUGAGGAAUGGCACCAGAACCAGACAUGAUUACUAAUUAAUUAUAUUUUUUAGUUUUGUUGCUGUUGAUUAAUUAAUUUAAGAGAAUAUGUAUAUUCUUGGCAAGCUGGCUAGAAAUAACAAGCCCUUCAAUUGAGAGCCAAAAAAAAAAAAUCACAUCUAGUCAGAGGAGAGUCUACUGAGGACACGUGUAAUGGGAUGGGGCCUUCAUAAGGUGUUUUUGUUUCCUACCUUUAAUUUUUCUUCCUUUUUAUAUGACGCCAUUUCCACUAAUUAUAAUUUUUUUAAUCUAAUAAGUAAUAUAUGAAAGAAAAACUUUAUGAUAUAAAAAGUUAUAUCAAAAUAAUAAACUACAAGUAAAUUUGCAUACCUUCAUUUAGUGUUGUUCGAGUAUAGAAAACACUCAAACAUAUUACGGAUCUUCUAGCCUAUUCCUUCUUGAUAGCCUUAAUAAGUUGUUGGGGCCAGGCUAGCUAGGGGCCCCAUAGAAUUUGCAAUGGACUUGAUCAUUUUCUUCUACUAAGAAAAUUAAAAAAAUUCUUCUUUAUCUUAAUCCUUCAGGAAUUCGUGAAUACUCGUUAUAUCAUUAUCCAAUCCUUUAGAAACAUGCGAGCAUUUAUAAUUAUCUUUUAAUUAAAACUAACUGGCUACAUAUAUGUGAGCUCUAAUUAAAUCUCGAUCCAUAUAUGUGAGCCACAUCUAGAAAAGUGAGUCUAACCAUAUAUAAUUUAUUGUAAGCCAUCGUCAAUGCAAUCAUUAUGUUAUUUCCAUUCAAAUUAAUCACGAUCAUCACACAACUGAUCAUGCAUACACUCAUAGACUUGUUUCAGUACCGCUGUGAUAUUUGAUUAAGCUGUAUUAAUUUAUCUUACGUAAAAUUAAGACUUGGUCGUGAUCAGACAGCAAGUAAAGUGUGAGAAUGUAUAAUCUGAAUCUAGAGGAGUUGGGGGCUUUUGAUUUUCGAUAUGCAAAGAUUCACAGCUGAGAAAUUUCAAUUAAUACCACCAUUAUCUCCACAAAUUGCCACUAAGAAAAGUAUUGUUGGUCAUGGCCAUUAUCUCCACAACAAGGAUUCCACUCCCCAUCUACGUAGAUUCCAAAACAAGGCUUGGUGCACUAAGUCAACAAGUAUUAUAUUAUAUAAUUAAUACUUGAUGAAUAGCCAUGCAUUUCUCUUCUAUAUAAACUCAUAUAUCUCUCUUGUGAUUUCAUCGGGAACCAAAAAAGAAAAAAAGGGCUAUUUCACUCAGUAGUAUCAACUUUUGAUCUGCCUCCAGCUACGUUUUGUGUUUUCGGUGUUCUGCUAAACUCUGCUCUCAUGACCAAAGUUCAGCAUUGCUCCAACUUAAGCAACUCUUUUCUUUGGGAAAAAGUUGUAGAAUAUCAAUAAUCUCGUCCAAAGAUGAUGUCUUGGAAAGGGCAUGCCGAUUGCUGCUCCACUGAAUGAACAAAUUCAGUGGCAAUCUCUCUCAUACGUUUGCAAAAACUAGUGUUUUGUCAAGUCUUAACCUUAAUGGCAAUCGGUUCGAAGGAUCAUUGCCUCUGUCUUUACGAAGGAUCAUUGCCUCUGUCUUUGUUGAACUAUCAGUAUUUGGAAGUUUUAGAUUGAAGAGAUUGUAAAGUUAUACAAAUUGAACCAUAUCAAUCACUCCCAAGAUCACUGAUUCAGAUUUCCAAGAUGCAAAAAAGAUGAUCUGAUUAGCUAAUAAUGAUGAAUGAACCGAUGAUCAGAAUGAUGAAUUGACCAUAAACAAUCAAUAGAAACACAAAACCACAAGAAAGAACACAAGACACAGCAAAUAAUGUGGUUCAGUCAAUUUGCAUUGACUUACAUCCACGAGAGGAACAAAUCGAUCAGUUUAUUGAUUGAAUCAAGUUUUCUUUACAUAGUGGAUACAGAGCUAUGUUCAAGGAACAAGAAGACCUUCUUCACUUAAGCUUUUUUUUUUCUCUCUCUCUCUCUCUCAAAACCUCUGGAUCUCUGUGUUUGUUAAACCAGAACCAGUUGCAUUUCUAGGUUUAUAACGAACCCAGUUACUUGCCCAAUAUUGCACGUGAGAAGCAAAUGCUUUUAACAUCUUUAACAACCUUUACACAUCAUUCAAAACUUCACGUGCACUGCUCAUGGUUCUUUAAGUUCCAGCAAAGUUCUAAGUCGUUUAAACAAGUAAUAUUAAGACACCAUUAAACACAGAUCAGAAUGUUGUUUUGCUUAGCUUCAGUCACCAAAAUGCAUUGCUUUCUUGUUGUUUCAUCGAUCUUUUGAUUUGAUUCACUUUGCUUCAACAAAAUCUCCACCUUGAAACAAAUCAAACCUGACUAGCGUUUCGCCUCAUCCCUCUGCAAUUUAGAGACUACAUAAACUAACCAUGUUCAAGUAAACCUUGAACUUAGCUGUUGGAACCACUUUUGUAAGCAUGUCUGUAGAAUUAUUGUUUGUAUGAACCUUCAACAUUUUGAUCACACCUUUUGACACUUCAUUUCUGAUAUAGUGUAAUUUGACAUCAGGAUGCUUGGUUCUCUCAUGAUGAGCUGGAUUUUCACUCAAGUAUAUUGCACUAGAGCUAUCACAGUGAAUUUCGACAGUUUCUUGAGCUAUCCCUAAUUCUGCAGUCUCCCUUUGAGCCACAAAGCUUCUUUGACUGCCUCUAUACCUGUUGUAUAUUUAGCCUCUGAUGUUGACAAAGCAACAACAUGUUAGAGACUUGCUUUUUAGUUGAUAAUGCAGCCAUCUAGCAUAAACAUAUACCCUGUUAAAGACUUUCUUCUAUCAUAGUCCUCAGCAAAAGCUGAGUCCACAUAACGCCACGAGCCACUACUUAUGGCAUAUAACAAUCUAUAUUUCUGAGUACCAUUGAGAUACCUCAAUGUUGACUUGAUUGCUUGCUAGUGCUCUUUCCCAUGUGCUACUAUAUAUCUGCUUACAAUGCUUAAAGCGUCAGAAAUAUUAGGUCUUGUUAAGACCAUAGCAUUCAUUACAAUCUCCACAGCAUUGGCAUAUGGAACUUUUGCCAUUUCAGACUUUUCUUUAUCUGUUUUAGCACACUGCACAUUUAAGAGUUUGAAAUGAGAUGUCAAUGGCGUCAAGACAGGCUUACAGUUUGUCAUACCAAAGGUGUUAAGCACCUUUUUUACGUAUUUCUCUUGUGAGAGAAAUAUAGUUUUUUCUUUUCUGUUUUUUUUUUUUAUUUCCAUACCUAAGACCUUCUUGGCAUGUCCUAAAUCCUUCGUCUCAAACUCUAAACUCAGCAGCAGCUUUAAGGUUUCAAUCUCAUCUCUUUAUUUACAAGCUAUUAACAUAUCAUCUAUAUACAUCAACAAGUAUAUGUUGAGAUGUGUCUUAAGUAGCUUGUAAUAUACCCAACAAUCAAAGCUGCAUCUAUUGAAAAUAUUUGAGGUAAUGAACUCAUAAACCUGCUAUACCACUGUCUUGGGGACUACUUCAAGCCAUCUAGUGAUUUUUUCAAUAAAAACACAUAAUCAGCCCUCUUUGGUUUCAUAUACCUCUCUGAUUGAGUCAUCAGAAUCUCUUCUUGUAGUCAUCAAUGCAAGAAAGCAGUUUUGACAUCAAAUUGAUCAAGGUCCAUGUCAUGAACUGCUGUUAAAGUUAAUAACAUUCUUAUUGAAGCAUGUUUGACUACAGGUGAAAAAACUUCCUUGAAGUCAACUCCCUCUCUUUGGGUAUACCCCUUGGCUACUGACCUGGCCUUAAAGCUCCUGGGUUCUAUAGUUGUUAGGCCUUCUUUAACCCUAUAGAUCUAUUACAGCAAAUUAAUCUCUUAUUGUUAGGUUUCCUUACCAGCUCUCAAGUGUUGUUCUUGUAAAGUGAUGACAUUUCUUCAUCUAUAGCCUGCUGCCAUUAAGUCUUGAAUAUGCUUUGCAUUGCUUCUUUACAACUGCUUGGUUCUUCUCUAUCAAUUUUAUGUGAUGUAGCAAGUGCAUAUACAAUGACAUCUGCAUAGCCAAAUCUCUUUAGGAGUCCAAUCGUUCUUCUUUCUCUGUUUUUAGCCAAAUGAUAAAUCUUCUAACUGAGGCUUAUGACGUCCUCUGGUUUUGUCACUAUCAUCAACACCACCUUCAUCUGAAUCGAUAGCUACAUUUGAAGGUUUUUAUAUUGGCUACUCCACUUCAAAUUGAACAUUAUCAUCAGUUUUAUCGUUAAGUCCAGUAUCUCCGGUAGAUUGAUUCUUAUUCAAUACCACUUCCUUAUUAAACACCACAUCUCUAUUGAUUAUACAUUUAGGUAUAGACAAAUUUGUACACCAUAUCAGAGCUCUUUCUGGAUAACCUAUAAAUAGCUCUUUCAGAGCUCUUGGUGCCAAAUUGCCUUGAUUUAUAUGUGCAUAAGUAGUACAUCCAAACACUUUUAUUUUGCUGUAGUCUACAGGUUUACCAGACCACUUUUCAUGAGGUGUUUUGAAAUCUAUAGUUGAAUAAAGACUAAGAUUUACUAGUAAAUAAGCUACCAACAAGGUUUCUGCCUAUAACCCUUUAGGUAACUCUAAUUGAAUCAUCAUACAUUUGGCUUUGUCCAUUAGAGUUCUAUUCAUCCUUUUAGUUAAUGCAUUCUAUAUCUAAUAAUGCCUUCACUUGAACAGAAUUAAUUAACUAUCUGAUUGCAAUACUUAAGUCUAUUGUUUGUUUUCAGCUUCUUCAGUUUCUUUGCUGUUUGGUUUUCAACAAGAGCUUUCUACUCUUUAAAACUUCCCAAACACUUGGUCUUUAGUUAUGAGAAUAUACAACCAAACCUUCCUUGAGAAAUCAUUAAUGAUAGACAUGAAAAGUCUAUUUCCACCCAAAGAUGGAACGUUUGAAGGUCUCCACAGAUCUGAAUGCACAUAGUCCAGGAUGCUUUUGGUUUUGUGAAUAGAUUUCUUUAAACUAACCCUUGUAAAUGUCCCUAGAAUACAAUCCUCAUAGAAAUCUAGCUCUCUAAACUUAUCAGUUCCCAAAACACCCUGUUUUUCUAAUUUUUUAAGAUCUUUCAAGCUCAUUUAUCCAAUCUUAAAUGCCACAAUAUGAUAUUAUUUAUAUUAGUCUUAGUUGACACACUAGAUUCACUAGUCACUAUUUCACGAUCUAAGACAGAAACACCAUUUUUUUAAAGUCUCAAUCAUAAUUAGUGUUGUACCAUUUAAGAUCCUCAGUUCACUAUAUUCAACCUUGAAACUACAUCUUACCUGAUCAAGCGCCUCUAAAAGAAAUUAGAUUUCUCUUUAGGUCUACUACAUGCAUGACUUGCCUAAUUUCCCUUGCAGUCCCAAUCAUUAGUUUAAGGCUUAUGUCUCCCAUCUCAAUGACUUUACAUGCUGCAUUGUUACACCAAAAUCAACUGCAAUUUCAGGUUUAUAACAAACCCAGGUACCUGCCUACUAUCGCGCGUGAAAAGCAAGUGCUUUUAACAACUUUAACAACCUUUACACGUCAUUAAAAAAUUUCACAUAAAAUGCUGAUUUUUCUUUAAGUUCCAAGUCAUUUAAACAAGUAGUGUUAAGACACCAUCAAACACAUAUCAGAAUGUCAUUUUGCUUAAGCUUCAGUUACCAAAACUUAUUGUUUUCUUGUCGUUUCGUCAAUCUUUUGAUUUGAUGCACUCUAGUUCAACAUAGAUGUUGGGAAUAAUUAGUUUGAAGGUACCUUUCCCUAUUGGCUAGAAGUUUUUCCUAAAUUGCAAGUUCUUAUAUUAUGUUUAAAUAGAUUUUAGGAUCCCAUAGGUGAUACCAAAGCAAGAGUUCCCUUCCCUAAGUUGAGAAUGUUUGAUCUCUCUCACAAUGAACUCAUCGGUGUUUUGCCAAUAUUUUGGAUCAUUUUAAAAUUUUAAUAAAAUAACUGAAUUUAUUUAUAAAAAAUAAAUCCCAAAAUUUUAAUAAUUUAGGAGAUUUUUAUUAAAUCCAAAAAUUUUGUAAUUAUUUUUAUACUUAUAUUUUUAUUAAAAAUAAAAAUUCUAAUUUUUAGAUUUAUUUCUUUAUUAAAUGUAGGAGUGUUUUUAUAUAAAAUAAAAUCAUCUUUUAAUUUAUUUAGGGGUAAAAUUAUUAUUUCGUUUAAAUUAUUUAACGGUGUUAAUGCAAAAGUGGCUAAUUGAUACAAAUUUCAAAAGAAAGGUGGCGCAAAGAACAUGUUAGAAUUUUGUGAUGGUUGGAUGAAAAUAAAACAAAAAAAAAGUGGUGCAAUAAUAAUUUCCCAAAAAAAAUGACAAUCAAAGGCAAUGGCGUAAAAGAGAAAAGGAUUCUAACCGCUUUUGUUGUUAUUGAUUUGUCGAGCAACAUAUUUCAAAGAGGAACUCCAUAAGUGGCGGGAAAGUUUAAUUUACUAAUGUCUGGACAUUUCUCACAACAACCUCAUGGGUGGUAUUCUAUCAUUAUUAGGAAAACUAACACAGCUUAAAUCUCUAGACCUAUCUUCAAAUAAGAACAAUAUAUCUUUCUCGAUCAAUCACCUUGCCCCUCAUUCUUCGAGAAUAAAAAAUAUCAUUUUCAUGUUUCAAUUUGUUCAUUUGGAAUCUGGGUUCGCUCCUUUAUGGAAGAUUGAUAUAUUCCCAAAGAGAAAUCGGGGGCAAAAUAACAAAAGUCAACCCAUAACAUCUAUGUGAGCUUUUUUUUUUUUUUGGUCUGAAUGAAUUCAAAACAAUCCGCUUUUCUAGAUGAUCCUUCUAGAAGAGUGGGAUUAUAACAAUACCAAUCUUUCUAGUUACAUCAUUCUCUAUUACUAAAUGAAAGAAUCCUUAGGAAAAGUUUUUUGUUUCCCCCGAGCUAAAUUAAAAAAAUCUCUUACAAUGCUAAAUCUUUCGUACAACCACAUUGAGGGACCCUAUACCUCAAAGACCCCAAUUCGAUACGUUUCAAAAUGAUUCCUAUGUUGGUAACCCCAAGUUGUGUGGAUUCCUAUUGUCAAAAAACUACAAGAAAUUUGACUUUUUAAGACGAUUUUUAUUAUGACAUUUGUAGAGUUUGUCAAAAAAUAAUACUUAUUGUGACGAUUUUUUAAAAUCGUAGCCAAUGAUCUCAUCCUAGCUCAUCUUAUAUUUUGUAACAAAUAAUAUUUAUUUGGGACCCAUUAAUUGGUCACCUAAUCAAAUAUUUUGCGACAAACAUAAAAUGAGUCGCAAAAGUACAUGCUUUUUUUAGCACAACAAAAUAUCAUCUUUAAUGACAAAAAAAUAUGGUAGCGAAAUAUAAUCAUAGGUGACAUAAUUAUUUCAUAACUAAAUGAGGGAUGUAAAAUUAAUCAAACCAUUUGUAGCAAAAAAAAAAAAAAAAACUCCAAAACUAAUAUGUUGUUGACUAAUUUUAGAACCCUAAUUUUUUAUCGCAAAUAAUUACCUAUUGUGACAUAACUAAAAAAUAUUAGUUUAAAAAUUUAUCUUGUGUUAUAUUUCAUGACCCAUUUUGUUGGAUGAAAAUAAAACAAAAAAAAAGUGGUGCAAUAAUAAUUUCCCAAAAAAAAUGACAAUCAAAGGCAAUGGCGUAAAAGAGAAAAGGAUUCUAACCGCUUUUGUUGUUAUUGAUUUGUCGAGCAACAUAUUUCAAAGAGGAACUCCAUAAGUGGCGGGAAAGUUUAAUUUACUAAUGUCUGGACAUUUCUCACAACAACCUCAUGGGUGGUAUUCUAUCAUUAUUAGGAAAACUAACACAGCUUAAAUCUCUAGACCUAUCUUCAAAUAAGAACAAUAUAUCUUUCUCGAUCAAUCACCUUGCCCCUCAUUCUUCGAGAAUAAAAAAUAUCAUUUUCAUGUUUCAAUUUGUUCAUUUGGAAUCUGGGUUCGCUCCUUUAUGGAAGAUUGAUAUAUUCCCAAAGAGAAAUCGGGGGCAAAAUAACAAAAGUCAACCCAUAACAUCUAUGUGAGCUUUUUUUUUUUUUGGUCUGAAUGAAUUCAAAACAAUCCGCUUUUCUAGAUGAUCCUUCUAGAAGAGUGGGAUUAUAACAAUACCAAUCUUUCUAGUUACAUCAUUCUCUAUUACUAAAUGAAAGAAUCCUUAGGAAAAGUUUUUUGUUUCCCCCGAGCUAAAUUAAAAAAAUCUCUUACAAUGCUAAAUCUUUCGUACAACCACAUUGAGGGACCCUAUACCUCAAAGACCCCAAUUCGAUACGUUUCAAAAUGAUUCCUAUGUUGGUAACCCCAAGUUGUGUGGAUUCCUAUUGUCAAAUUUUUUUCAGAGGCACAUUAUUUGUAUUUGACUCUUCUUUUGUUUUGUGUGACUAACAUUACAACACUGAAAAAAAAGAAGAACAAUAAUCAAGAUCCACGCCUCGUACAAAUUUGUUGGCUGGCCGCGGCAACUCCAACGACUUCUGGGCAGUGGUGGGGAUCGGAUUUUGAAGGUGUUGUUGUGAGGAGAUAAACUCAGGUGGUGGUGGUCGAAAAUCCGGUGGAUCUUGCCGAUCAUGGUCACGCUUUGCGGGAGAAACCGCAGCUUCGUGUGGCCGUUUCUUGCUACUUUCCGGUGGCGGCGAAGAUACGCGAGUGCUCGCUGGUGCUUGGGAGUUAAUAAUUUUACAUAACAUUCUGUCUCUUCAAUUGCUAAUCUCGCAAUAUUUCUUUCUCUUCCGGCGAGUUUUUGGAAACUUCUCCGAUUAGGUAAUUUUCGCCUACCCUGUUUGUUUGCUAGGAAACUAACCAAAGUAACAACAAUGUAUAACACUAUGUGAUUAUAUGGAUUGCUAACUAAAUGUGAUAGUUGCUUCAAAUGAAAAAAGAUUUGAGAUAUUAUGUUUGAUACUUAACUUGAAUUAGGGAAUGUGUGUAAAAGAUUUGAGUGUAAAUCAGCUCACAAAUGGAAAAGAAUACAGAAGCACAGUGGCUGAAAUGAUAGCCGUAUAUUAGUUUCUUGUAUAUUGAAUUGAAAUGAUUUAUUAAUUUCUGAAUUAUUUUGUUUCAUGUGUGAGGAAGUCUUUUGAUGCAAUAGCUUUUGAAACCGAACUUGUUUAGGUGCUUGUUAGAUUUGUUUCGAAGUGCUUUGAUGUUCUUGAUUUAUGAAUGCAAUUGUUUUCAAGAUGGUUUUAACAGGUCUCGGAUGAAGUUGAUGUCCUGUAUUUUUUUUUUCAAAUGAUUAUCGUGCAAUGCUUGCUACUAAAUCAUUCAAGUUAAAAGUAGAACCUGUGAUUGGCGAGGCAAAGGAAUCAACUGCAAUAUUGUUCUGUGCCAAAAUUUUGUUCUUGGAAAAACAGUUUAUACUAUAUAAUUUGUACGUGAACCAAAAGGGGAUGCAUCCUUUCCUUUGCAGGCUUGCUAAGUAUAUAAUCGGGCUCUUUUUGGGACAGCUCUCAUAACUUCAGUUGUUCUUAUCUUUAUUGCAAUUAUUCUCAUCCUUUCAAGUAAGAGGUAUAUUUUGAGAUUGACACUAAAAUCAUAGCAAAUGUUUAUUAUUAUUAUUGGAUCCUUUAUAGAAGAAAGGUAUUGACCAUCUGCUUCUUGAAAGCAGUGAUGAUGAUGAUCGUGGGAGACCAACAUGAUGCAGGUCUUUUUUUGAUUCAGGAUUCAAUAUUUACCUCUCUCCAUUUGAUCUAUUUUGGUAAAUAUUUUUCUAGUUUCAAACCUCAGUAAUAUUCCCUAUAUUUUAACAGUUCAAAAUUAAUUAUAUGAAAGUCACCAAUUAAGAAGUACAAAAUUGAACUGAGAUGACUUUCCAAUUUUCAUCUAACUGCAAACUUCAUUAUAGAAAACUUCAUGUAGUUGUGUUCCCUUCUUAAAUCAUGUAAGGUACUGGAAUCCAUAUUAUUAUAGAAGGUGACGAGUAGAGACAGAUGAUGAUGAUAAAGUCUUAUGGAUAUGAGGGUGGAAGGCAAUGAAUGUAGUUCUUCUCGUGACAAGCUUUGAAAUAUUAUUUUGAUCUACGCCCAAAUCUAAAAUACAAACGACGUCCAAGAUACACCAAAUCAAAGUUAUCCUCACACCAUUUCCUUCAGCAAUACAAAAUUAUUUCAAAUCAUUUUUCUCCUCAAAAACUUGAUGUUUAGUAAAUCUUACUUUUAAAAUAGUAUGAGAAUGUAAAUGACUUAAAUAGAUAUAAAUCUAUCAAAUUUAUUUACACAUGCAUUUAUAAAUAUGUGUAUAAAAUAAUAUUUUAUGUGUAUAUAUAAUAAUUGAUAACUAAAAUAAAUAUUUUAUUUUAUUAAAUGUAUUGCUUUUGUUAUCCCAAUUUUUUUGUCUACAUUAGUAAUGUUAUCCCAAUUUUUUUUUCUACAUUAGUAAUGUUAUCCCAAUAUGUUGUUAAUAAUAAUCCCUUUAUGUUAUGAAAUAAUUAUAAUUUAUGUGAAUGUUCAUCGAAGCAUUCUUUUAUCUCCUCACAAGCAACUUUUCAUCUCUUAUAAUUCCCAUUAUCUCCUUAAUUUAAGGAUUGUUGUCUCUCAUAAUUAUGAUGUAUUACUUACUACUUUAUGGUUGUAUCACUAUAAAAGGAGAUUUUUACUCCUUGUUUGUAUACACUUGGAAGUGUGAAUAACACAUAAGAGAUUGAAUAAAAUUUCUCUCUACACACAUUAUGUCUCUUAUUUGCUUUCUUUCUGUCUCUUGCUAUAUGGUUGUGCUUUUAAUUAAUAGAUUUUAUAACACAUUAUUAGCACGAGUCUCUAGCCACAAGAGAUCAAUUUUCAUCCUCUUUAAAAUAUGGUAAUAUCUCUUCUUUAAUCUUACUCAUAAAAGUAUGAAGUAACAAUCUUGAUUUUUCCUAAGAUGAUAUUUACAUUCGCAUAUGUAUUUUGAUAAUCUAGAAUAAUGCAUCAAUGAAUUCAUGCUUUAAUAUCAGCAUUACUUAUAUUGUUAUUGUUUGACAUUUCUUAUUCUAAUAUUCAAUUGCUAUUAUAUAUUUUCCAUUAUUGAAAUUCAAAAAGUUCAUCCUAAAGUGUGAAUACUAUAAUAUACAAUGAAAGAAAAUUAAGAAUGCAUCCUCGGGGGAUUGCAUUGCAUAUAAUGAAGAUUUUCUUUCAAAAUAGGUUCCUGAAGAACUAUUACAAAAUUAUGAUGUCAUUCGUCACUAUCUUGUUUAUGAAGGAUUGACUAUAUAAGUGUAUAUUUUAUAUGUCCCUGAAGGACGUGUAUAUUUUAUAUGUCCCUGAAGGACUAUGUAAUGCCCAAAUUUGUAUUAUUUUAUUUUUUAUGGAAUUUAUAAAUAGCGUUUUUGCCCUUAUAAAAAGGGUUAUCCAUGGGAUAAUUUUUAGUAAAGGGUUAUUUUUUCAAAUUCAAUAGGGUUUCUUAAGACUCACUAUAAAUUCAUAUUUUUCCCCUUCCAUAACCCUGAACCCAUGACGUUUCUUCUUCUUCUCUGCUGCUCAUUACGCUCUUACCCAAACCCUAGAAUUCAAGCUUUUGCUUAGGAGAGAAUCAAAGCGAUUGAUAAGUUUAUUCUCCUUAUUCCCCACAAGAUUUUCAAUCACUCUAUCUAGGGUUUAUAUUGGCAUGAUUUUAGAUUGUUAUAGAUUAUAAUGCAUGAUUUAGAAUGUGUUUAGACUUUGUUUAGGGUUUUGAUUUAUUAUGAGUUUAGUAAUCAAUCCUAGACGUAUUAAGCACACAUGAUAAUUCUAGACAGCAUGAGUAUCUCGAAUUUAAACCUAUAUUUUCUGAACGAUUUUUCUUAUGACCGUUUUUAAAACUUACAUUAUUUUUAAAAAUAAAAUUUACUAAAUAUUUAAUUUAUUAUAACUAAUUAUUUUUAUAGUACAACCACCAUCAAUUAUUUAAAAUUAUAGCAUUAGCAAUCCGGCUCUUAGCUACGAGCAAUGCGCCAGUAAUAUACUCGUCGUUGAUAAAAACUUGUCCAUUUCACCGGACUAACACUCGCGCCACGCUAUCACUCAAUUAUAAACAGAAAAUAUUCGGAUAAGAAAUUAAAGCCACUGAAUGAUUGAAUUUCGAGUCUUCAGAGAAAUGCAACAGCGCUCAAUUUCAAACAAAGAAGCAAAACGCCAGCGUUUUAGUGCCGCCACUGCUCAGCUCUCUCUACGAACUCUGCCCUCUCCUGCAAAAUUAUAGUUGGCCUCUCGAAAUAGGUGAAAACAUUAAUACCCUUUUCUUUAUUCUACGUUUCCGAGAAAAUGCAAGAAAAGGUUUCAAGUAAUUAAUUAUGUGACUUCUUUUUGUGUUAAUUUGAUAGACAGUGUUCGUUAUGGAACUGCAUUAUUGUUUACUGAGUUUAAAUUCUAGUGGCCAGAUUAUUUUAGAACAUGCAGAUUAAUUACAUUUAGUAAUAAAACAUACAGUAAUAGUAUUAAAAUUUCCAAUGUGGACACAACUUCUUCUAGAUAGCAUGCUUAAUAAUUAAACACGGAAUUGUUGAACACAGCUUCUGCAUGCUGCUGAUGCCUUAUGGACUGGUUUUGUGGAAAAUGCUCAAUAUUAUAUUGAUUAUCUUUUUAGUCAUUCACAUUCUUUACGGGUAAAAGACGCCGAGAAAGGGAAUGAUCAAAAAGAUAAACGAUAUUGACCGCUCGAUUACAACAGUGCCAGUAGAAUUGAUAGAAAAAGCUUUUGCACCAUGUAAGUGCUCAUUAAUUAAUGAUUUUCAGGAAGAAAGAAUUGUUCUAUCCCUGUUUGGAGUUUGAGCAACAUCCUUACAUCUGUAACAUUCAACUUUUUGAUCCUUCCAAUGAGUUUAAUUAAUUCAUAGCUGUGGAAAACGAGUUGGAAUAGUUUGAAAUUUUGUAAAAUUGGCCACGACUAAUGCACUCAAUUUUACUUGGUGCACCGAGUCUAAAAGUAUAAUAAUGGAUAGUUAGACUCCCUCCCUUAAUUUCAUUUCAUACUUGCACACCAUUUCUCUUCUAUAUAUAAUCAUGCAUAUCUCAGUUAUUGUGAUUUCAUCAAGAGCCAAGAAAAGAACAAAGAAAAAAAUGGGUUAUUUAACUCAGCCUUAUCAACUUGUCAUCUGCCUCCAGUUAUCGCUCUUGUUUUUUCAGUGUUCUGCAAAGCUUUGCUCUCAAGAACAAAGUUCAGCAUUACUCCAAUUUAAGCAACUCUUUUCCUUUGCAAAAACAUCUUCUUCGCAAUGUGAUGGAUACCAACAAUCUUAUCCAAAGAUGAAGUACUGGAAAGAGGAUGCUGAUUGCUGCUCCAGCUGGGAUGGAGUGACAUGUGAUAUGGUGACGGGUCAGGUGAUUGGCCUGGACCUCAGUUGCAGUUGGCUUCACGGCAGCAUCUCUUCCAACAGUAGCCUUUUCUUUCUUCCUCGCCUGCAAAAGCUCAACCUGGGUUCCAAUGAUUUCAAUUACUCUAAGAUUUCUUCUGGCUUUAGUCAACUCCGGAGCUUGACACUCCUUAACCUCUCUUCCAGCAACUUCACGGGGUCAAUUCCUCCA